GCCUGGGUGGCUCAAUAGUUUAAGCAUCUGACUUCAGCUCAGGUCAUGAUCUCAUGGCUCAUGAGUUCGAGUCCCAUGUCAGGCU
This is a non-coding RNA of Felis catus (domestic cat), 85 nucleotides long. The record is from Rfam. NCBI's taxonomy places the organism in Eukaryota, Metazoa, Chordata, Mammalia, Carnivora, Felidae.